Long non-coding RNA from Melanotaenia boesemani (Boeseman's rainbowfish), 255 nucleotides. RefSeq lists it as uncharacterized. The transcript is spliced from 3 exons. The record is from RefSeq and is a predicted model, not a curated record. Lineage: Eukaryota; Metazoa; Chordata; Actinopteri; Atheriniformes; Melanotaeniidae.
GGAAGAAAAGGAAGCACUAAAAAUGUUCUUGUUGUAGUGAAAUCUAUUGGUCAACGUUACCACAACUUCAUGAAACUUCACUGCUCCAUCUACAACAUUGCAGAAAACUGAAACCACAAUACCAACAGCACCAUGUUACAGGUUGAUGAAAGGAUGACAUCUUAUUUUUUCUGUGCCACCCAGCGAGAUGGGAUGAAAUACCAACUGUGUGACACAAAUACUUCUCGGUGUGCUCCAGCAUGCCGAAGCAGGAUA